AGAGUUUUGAUCCUGGCUCAGGAUGAACGCUGCGGCGUGCCUAACACAUGCAAGUCGAACGAAGCACGCCCUCCGAGGGCCUUCGGGCGGAGGGGGCGAUGACUUAGUGGCGGACGGGUGAGUAACGCGUGGGUAACCUGCCCUAUACUGGGGGAGUAACAGCUAGAAAUGGCUGCUAAUACCGCAUGAGCGCACAGUCCCGCAUGGGACAGUGCGGAAAACUCCGGUGGUAUAGGAUGGACCCGCGUCCGAUCAGCUGGUUGGUGGGGUAACGGCCCACCAAGGCGACGAUCGGUAGCCGACCUGAGAGGGUGACCGGCCACAUUGGGACUGAGACACGGCCCAAACUCCUACGGGAGGCAGCAGUGGGGGAUAUUGCACAAUGGGGGGAACCCUGAUGCAGCGACGCCGCGUGAGUGAAGGAGUACUCCGGUAUGUAAAGCUCUACCAGCAGGGAAGAAGCAAGACGGUACCUGACCAAGAAGCCCCGGCUAACUACGUG
Molecule: ribosomal RNA, 502 nt
Filed under: uncultured Lachnospiraceae bacterium
Lineage: Bacteria; Bacillati; Bacillota; Clostridia; Lachnospirales; Lachnospiraceae
Description: bacterial SSU rRNA
Rfam family: Bacterial small subunit ribosomal RNA
Source: RNAcentral